UCCGGAUAAAUGGGUCCAAUACUAAUACCAGAUCCAGAUUCGUUAGGUAAAUACCCACAGGUCUUGGUCUGAACUCGGUCCGUUGACAGCUCUACCCAAGAUAUGAUCGAAAUCCUUUGCCUGUGAGUAGGGGUGAGCAAAAAUCGAACUUGAACCAAUCAAACUAAUGAAACCGAACCAAACCACAUGUUUGGUUGGGUUUAAAAUUUUAUUCGGUUUGAUUUGGUUGGUUUUUGAUAUAU
This 242-nucleotide long non-coding RNA is filed under the name Elaeis guineensis (African oil palm). Its description in RNAcentral is "long non-coding RNA (EGUI_LNC002028)". The record is from RNAcentral. Lineage: Eukaryota; Viridiplantae; Streptophyta; Magnoliopsida; Arecales; Arecaceae.